UGGCCUUGACAUGCAUUGCUAAACCGGUGAAAGCCGGCGAGUGUCGAAAGACACACCUGUGUACGCUGCUCUUGCGAGCUCGUCAGGCUUUCACCCUUCUACUACUUGCAUGUCAAGGCCAGGUAAGGUUCUUCGCGUUGCAUCGAAUUAAGCCACAUACUCCACCGCUUGUGCAGGCCCCCGUCAAUUUCUUUGAGUUUUAAUCUUGCGACCGUACUUCCCAGGCGGCACGUUUAUCGCGUUAGCUACGCCACAAAAGGGGUCGAUUCCUUUUACAGCAAACGUGCACCGUUUACGGCUAGGACUAC
Molecule: unclassified non-coding RNA, 308 nt
Filed under: uncultured Verrucomicrobiae bacterium
Lineage: Bacteria; Pseudomonadati; Verrucomicrobiota; Verrucomicrobiia
Description: contains 16S-23S intergenic spacer region
Source: RNAcentral